This 372-nucleotide ribosomal RNA is filed under the name Achromobacter xylosoxidans. Its description in RNAcentral is "bacterial SSU rRNA". It matches the Rfam family "Bacterial small subunit ribosomal RNA", at positions 30 to 404 of the family's 1533-position model. The record is from RNAcentral. Lineage: Bacteria; Pseudomonadati; Pseudomonadota; Betaproteobacteria; Burkholderiales; Alcaligenaceae.
AUUGAACGCUAGCGGGAUGCCUUACACAUGCAAGUCGAACGGCAGCACGGACUUCGGUCUGGUGGCGAGUGGCGAACGGGUGAGUAAUGUAUCGGAACGUGCCCAGUAGCGGGGGAUAACUACGCGAAAGCGUAGCUAAUACCGCAUACGCCCUACGGGGGAAAGCAGGGGAUCGCAAGACCUUGCACUAUUGGAGCGGCCGAUAUCGGAUUAGCUAGUUGGUGGGGUAACGGCUCACCAAGGCGACGAUCCGUAGCUGGUUUGAGAGGACGACCAGCCACACUGGGACUGAGACACGGCCCAGACUCCUACGGGAGGCAGCAGUGGGGAAUUUUGGACAAUGGGGGAAACCUGAUCCACCAUCCCGCGUGU